AGUGAACGCUGGCGGUAGGCCUAACACAUGCAAGUCGAACGGCAGCACAGUAAGAGCUUGCUCUUACGGGUGGCGAGUGGCGGACGGGUGAGGAAUACAUCGGAAUCUACUUUUUCGUGGGGGAUAACGUAAGGAAACUUACGCUAAUACCGCAUACGACCUACGGUGAAAGCAGGGGAUCUUCGGACCUUGCGCGAUUGAAUGAGCCGAUGUCGGAUUAGCUAGUUGGCGGGGUAAAGGCCCACCAAGGCGACGAUCCGUAGCUGGUCUGAGAGGAUGAUCAGCCACACUGGAACUGAGACACGGUCCAGACUCCUACGGGAGGCAGCAGUGGGGAAUAUUGGACAAUGGGCGCAAGCCUGAUCCAGCCAUACCGCGUGGGUGAAGAAGGCCUUCGGGUUGUAAAGCCCUUUUGUUGGGAAAGAAAAGCAGCAGGUUAAUACCCCGCUGUUCUGACGGUACCCAAAGAAUAAGCACCGGCUAACUUCGUG
RNAcentral lists this ribosomal RNA (491 nucleotides) under uncultured bacterium. RNAcentral describes it as "partial 16S ribosomal RNA". It matches the Rfam family "Bacterial small subunit ribosomal RNA", at positions 29 to 507 of the family's 1533-position model. The record is from RNAcentral.